This 242-nucleotide ribosomal RNA is filed under the name uncultured bacterium. RNAcentral's name for it is "partial 16S ribosomal RNA". It matches the Rfam family "Bacterial small subunit ribosomal RNA", at positions 535 to 776 of the family's 1533-position model. The record is from RNAcentral.
CAAGCGUUGUUCGGAUUCACUGGGCGUAAAGGGCGCGUAGGCGGGCUAUCAAGUCCGGGGUGAAAUCCUCCAGCUCAACUGGAGAACGGCCUCGGAUACUGAUGGUCUCGAGGGGGAUAGGGGCACGCGGAACUGUGGGUGGAGCGGUGAAAUGCGUUGAUAUCCAUAGGAACUCCGGUGGCGAAAGCGGCGUGCUGGAUCCCUUCUGACGCUGAGGCGCGAAAGCCAGGGGAGCAAACGGG